This 253-nucleotide ribosomal RNA is filed under the name uncultured bacterium. RNAcentral's name for it is "partial 16S ribosomal RNA". It matches the Rfam family "Bacterial small subunit ribosomal RNA", at positions 524 to 776 of the family's 1533-position model. The record is from RNAcentral.
UACAUGGGGUGCAAACGUUGCUCGGAAUUAUUGGGCGUAAAGCGCACGUAGGCGGUUUGUUAAGUCGGAUGUGAAAUCCCUCGGCUCAACUGAGGAAGUGCAUCCGAAACUGGCAGGCUUGAGUACUAAAGAGGGUCGCGGAAUUCCCGGUGUAGAGGUGAAAUUCGUAGAUAUCGAGAGGAACACCGGUGGCGAAGGCGGCGAUCUGGACGAUGACUGACGCUGAGACGCGAAAGCGUGGGGAGCAAACAGG